This 1069-nucleotide ribosomal RNA is filed under the name freshwater metagenome. RNAcentral describes it as "bacterial LSU rRNA". It matches the Rfam family "Bacterial large subunit ribosomal RNA", at positions 1853 to 2925 of the family's 2925-position model. The record is from RNAcentral.
UGACGCCUGCCCGGUGCUGGAAGAUUAAAUGAUGGGGUGCAAGCUCUUGAUUGAAGUCCCAGUAAACGGCGGCCGUAACUAUAACGGUCCUAAGGUAGCGAAAUUCCUUGUCGGGUAAGUUCCGACCCGCACGAAUGGCGUAACGAUGGCCACACUGUCUCCUCCUGAGACUCAGCGAAGUUGAAAUGUUUGUGAAGAUGCAAUCUACCCGCUGCUAGACGGAAAGACCCCGUGAACCUUUACUGUAGCUUUGCAUUGGACUUUGAACAGACUUGUGUAGGAUAGGUGGGAGGCUAUGAAGUACGGACGCUAGUUCGUAUGGAGCCGUCCUUGAAAUACCACCCUGGUGUGUUUGAGGUUCUAACCUUGGUCCGUGAUCCGGAUCGGGGACAGUGCAUGGUAGGCAGUUUGACUGGGGCGGUCUCCUCCCAAAGUGUAACGGAGGAGUUCGAAGGUUACCUAGGUACGGUCGGAAAUCGUGCUGAUAGUGCAAUGGCAAAAGGUAGCUUAACUGCGAGACCGACAAGUCGAGCAGGUGCGAAAGCAGGACAUAGUGAUCCGGUGGUUCUGAAUGGAAGGGCCAUCGCUCAACGGAUAAAAGGUACUCCGGGGAUAACAGGCUGAUUCCGCCCAAGAGUUCACAUCGACGGCGGAGUUUGGCACCUCGAUGUCGGCUCAUCACAUCCUGGGGCUGUAGCCGGUCCCAAGGGUAUGGCUGUUCGCCAUUUAAAGUGGUACGUGAGCUGGGUUCAAAACGUCGUGAGACAGUUUGGUCCCUAUCUGCAGUGGGCGUUGGAAGUUUGACGGGGGCUGCUCCUAGUACGAGAGGACCGGAGUGGACGCACCUCUGGUGGACCGGUUGUGACGCCAGUCGCAUCGCCGGGUAGCUAAGUGCGGAAGAGAUAACCGCUGAAAGCAUCUAAGCGGGAAACUUGCCUGAAGAUGAGACUUCCCUGGAGGCUUGACCUCCCUGAAGAGUCGUUCGAGACCAGGACGUUGAUAGGUCGGGUGUGGAAGCGCUGUGAGGCGUUAAGCUAACCGAUACUAAUUGCUCGUGAGGCUUGAUCCU